GGACAAGUGGUGUCCCUGAGCAAACCGAGACGAGCGGAGACUUGGAGCUUCGCGAGCAGUUGGCCACACUCGUGGGAGUGGUGAGGCAACAAACGGAUGUAAUGCAGCGUCAGCGGGAGGCUGCUUUGCGCUAAGAAGAGCGGAUUAAGAGACUCCAGGAAACGGUGGAUUAGUUAGUGACCGCACCAGUUUCGGCUCGUCGUGUACGGCCGGGAGUCGCGACGGAGGCAUUUCCGUAGGGGUCAGGUGAUCCGAUUGUUGUUAGUUCAGAGAUGGAAGCGGAAAGGGAGCGAGCUUUGGCGGCUCUAAUGACUUUCAAGAAGUUUGAUCCGCCUACUUUUGAUAGAGAGGACAUAGAUCCAUGGACUGUGGAGUCAUGGGUUGACUCCAUAGAGACUAUUUGCGAGGACUUGUACACGAUGGAGCGGGACAAGGUACGUGAUGCAAUUUGCUAAUUAACCCAAGAAGGAGGCAGAGAAUUCAUGGUGAAUUCUGGUGCUCUCCUUAUCAUAAACACAAGAAUGGGAGAAAUGGGAGGGAGGAUAAGAGAAGAGAAGAGAAGUGUAGAGGAAUGGAGAGAAAAUUAUAUUGAUACUCAAAAACUGAAUUACAAUAACCCUAAUCAGUCUAUUUAUACUUAGUUACAAUGGCAAACUUGUAAUAAAAGGAAAGUAAAUAGUGCGGGUCCUAGUUGUUAAUCUAGUUACCCUGAUAAACAACCAGGAUCGGAUGACUUGGGCCAUCAACGGCUCCGAUCAUCCCACCUCAAUGUUACCUAUGAAUGAAGUCGGCAACUAUUAUGGGAAAAUGCCGUAAUUCCCUGUUAUUAAUUACUGCACUACUCCGCAACCAAGCUUCGCUCUAUUGCCCUGCUUCGCUGCCCUGCUUCGCUACCUUGCUCCGCAACAGAUCCCCCCUCUUGAAGCAAUCCUUGUCCUCAAGGAUUAAAGUUUGGGUACCUCUUUUGGAGAUCAAAGAGGUACUCCCAUGUCGUUUCCUCCUUAGGUAGGUUUGACCACUGUAUCAGGACCUGUGUGACAGCCUUGUUACCUCUUUUUGUGAUGCGCCUAUCCAAGACAGCAAUCGGUUCCACCAAUAGCUGGCCUUCAGCAUUGACAUAGGCAGGAAUGGUAGAAGACGAUGCUGCUGACCCUAUCUUCUUCUUAAGCUGUGAGAUAUGGAAGGUGUGGUGAAUUUUCGCUGUCUCAGGUAACUGCAAUUUGUAAGCAACUUGACCAACUCUGGCAACUACAAGGAAUGGUCCAAAAUACUUUGGGGCUAGCUUUUGUGAAGUUCGUCGAUGCACUGAAACUUGACGGUAGGGUUGAAGCUUCACAUACACCCAAUCCCCAACUUGUAGUUCCCUCUCGGACCUCUUCUUAUUAGCCAAUUGUCGCAUACGAUUCUGCGCCUUAUGCAGAUUGUGCUUGACCAUUUUUAGAAUAGUCUCCCUGUGAGUGAGAUUUCUAUCUACUGCCUCAAAGUGAGAAUCACCAGCUAAGUAGGGAACAUGUAAGGGUGGGGUUUGGCCAUAAACGAUUUCAUAAGGUGUUGAUUUAAUUGCCGUGUGAAACGAAGUAUUGUACCACCAUUCCACCAUAGCCAGCCAUUUAACCCAAUCUUUAGGUCGCUCUCCUGUCAUACAUCUCAGAUAAUUCUCUAAACACCUAUUCACCACUUCGGUUUGCCCAUCCGACUGCGGGUGAUAUGCCGUGGAUAUAUUCAGCUGAACCUUCAAGUGUUUAAACAAUUCCUGCCACACGUGACUUAUAAAAACAGCACCCCUAUCGCUCACGAUGCUUUUUGGAAGACCAUGCAGUCGAUAUAUAUUAUCGAAGAAGGCUUGAGCCACCGUUGACGCAGAAUAGGGAUGAGAAAGUGCUAUGAAAUGGGCAUAUUUGCUCAAUCUAUCCACCACAACAAAAAUCACUUCCUUACCGUUGGAUGGAGGUAACCCUUCUAUGAAAUCCAUGGAGAUUUCAGUCCAAAUUCUGUCAGGAAUUGGUAAAGGUUGUAGUAAUCCAGCAGGUGCCAUGUUUUCACUCUUGUUUCUUUGGCAUAUGCCACAUUCGUUCACGAACCUCUUCACAUCCUUGUGGAGACCCUUCCAAUAGAAAUAGCUACUAAUUCUCUUGGUAGUGACAUCAAUGCCAGAAUGUCCCCCGGCACUGCUACUAUGAAAUUCCUGGAGAAGCUUUUGUUUUAAGUUAGCAUCAUUUCCUACAACCAACUUCCCUUUUCUUCUUAGCUGAUCAUGAGCCCAUGUGUAAUGAUGUCUAAAUGCAGGAUCGUGUUGCUUUGCUUCUAUUAAAGACUUCAAUUCUGUAUCUGUCUCCCAGCUCUUCCGAAUUUCGUCAAGUAACUCUGUUUUCACAAUAGAAACCGCAGCUAAAGUUGGAGCUCUAGACAAUGCAUCAGCCACCACGUUCUCCUGGCCCUUCUUGUAGAUUAAUUCAUAAUCGUAGCCCAUCAAUUUUGAUACCCACUUCUGUUGACUUGGUGUUGAUACCCGCUGCUCCAUUAGGAACUUAAGGCUUUGAUGGUCUGUUUUUAUUUUAAAAUGUCUCCCAAUUAGAUAUGCUCUCCAUUUUUGGACCGCCGUCACAAUUGCUAGCAUCUCCUUUUCAUACACUGAUAAGGACCUGUUUCGGGAGGAUAGAGCCUUACUCAUGAAGGCAAUUGGUCUCCCUUUUUGUUGAAGGACUGCUCCAAUACCACUUCCCGAAGCGUCCGCUUCAAUUGUGAAUUCUUCAUUGAAAUUUGGUAAUGCUAAAACUGGUGCACUACUAAUUGCCUUCUUCAAAUCAUGAAAUGCCCAUUGUCCAUCCUCAGUCGAUUUAAACCCUCCUUUUUUUAGCAUAUUGUGUAGUGGUUGACUGAUUUUACCAUAAUUCCUCACAAACCUUCUGUAAUAUCCUGCCAACCCAAGAAACCCCCGCAAUUCUCUCACUGUGGCAGGCAUAGGCCACCCUUUAAUGGAUUCGAUCUUCUGAGGAUCCAUAUAAACCCCAUUCUGAUCAAUGACAUGCCCCAAAUACUCUAUUCUAGGUGCAGCAAAUGUACAUUUCUUCUCCUUUAUGAACAACGAAUGUUGCUUCAAGAUGUCAAAAACUAUUCUCAAAUGUGCGAGAUGUUCAUCCUCACCUUUGCUAUACACCAGAAUAUCAUCGAAAAAUACAAGGAUGAAUUUCCUCAAAUAUGGCCUGAAAAUUUCAUUCAUGAGACUUUGAAAGGUGGAAGGAGCAUUGGUUAACCCAAAAGGCAUAACCAAAAAUUCGUAAUGUCCUUCGUGUGUCCGGAAGGCAGUUUUUGGAAUAUCAUCUUCGAACAUUCUAAUUUGGUAGUACCCCGAUCUCAAGUCUAGCUUAGAGUAAUGCGUUGACCCAUGCAAUUCGUCAAUUAAUUCAUCCACCAAUGGUAUUGGAAACCGAUCCUUCACAGUGCACUCGUUUAAGGUCCUGUAAUCAAUGCACAUUCUCCACGAGCCAUCCUUCUUUUUCACUAACACCACCGGGGAGGAAUAGGGACUAGUGCUAGGCCUAAUUACCCCCUGGGCCAAUAGAUCUUGCACAAUUUUCUCAAUCUCAUUUUUUUGAUAGGCUGGAUAUCUAUAAGGCCUUACGUUUAUAGGAUUAGUACCUUCCUUCAGUGUGAUUCUAUGGUCAUGCGAUCUGUGUGGUGGCAGUCCUUCAGGUUCAGCAAAUAAUCCUGAGUAUUCCAACAGUAAUGAUUGCACUAGUUGUAUAAACCUUGGUGUAGAAUGAGUCUCUUGAGUUCUAUUUACAAUCUUGACUUCAGAGUUACCACUAAAAGGUUCAGCAGAAUGGAUGCAGCACAAGUGCAUAGAAAACAGUUGGGUAUCAGUUUGCAUUAUCUUCUUCAAUUGCUUGCCCUCGAUGACUUGUAAAGGAGCUUGUGGGGAGCCUCUUAAGGAAACCUUCCUGCCUUUAAUGUGGAAUUCCAUCUUCAAUUGCUUAAAAUCCCAUAAAAUAGGGCCUAACUUCACUAACCAUUGUAUGCCCAGCACUACAUCACAACCACCCAAUGGUAACAAGAGUAAAUCUGCUUCAAAUUCUAGUCCUUGCAUUUUCCACUUGAAGGCCUUGCAAACAGAAGAACAAGACACCUUGUUGCCAUCUGCUAUUGUUACUCGCACCGGAGGAAAUGGCUCAAUCUGACAACCCAAUUUCUUAGCUACAGCUAGAUCCAAGAAAUUGUGUGUACUUCCGGAAUCGAUUAAAAUAUGUAUUUUUCUAUUCUUCACUGUCCCAGAGAGCCUCAUAGUCCUGUAAUCCAGCAGUUGGUUGGACCCAGCGAGUGCAUUCAAAGAUAUCAAGGGUGCUGAGUUAAGUAACUCAUCUGUCGCAACUUCUUCCUCUGAUUCUCCCUGGUCUACUUCUUGGGCCUCUUCAAUUACUUCUAUUUUGUAUAAUUGCCUUUUCUUACACUUAUGACCUGGUGCGUAUUUCUCCUCGCACCAAAAACACAAUCCCUUGGCUCGGCGCUCAUCAAAGUCAGAGUUUGACACACUCCUCACAGUCUUAGUUGGAUUAUUUCCUUGGGAAUUUACAAUUCCUGGCUGCAUGGAAGGUCUUGGAGCUUUAAAGUUGUUGGAAUUAUGGUGGCCUCCAAUGCUCUUAGGAGUUGGUAACAGAGGUGGAGUAUUCAAUGGCAUGGGUUUAGUUCCACUCUUAAUAUGUUUGUUGGAAGCUUCCACUGAUACCUCUUGUAGUUUAGCCAAACUGAGAGCCUUCUGAAGUGUUCUCGGCUGAAACAUUCGUAUUGGUAUUUGAAUUUCUUCCUUUAAUCCGCUCAAGAAGCAACUAACAGCGUAUUCCUCAGAGAGAUCUACCCGGUUUAACAAUUCAUCAAAUCUGUCCUGAUACUCUUGAACAGUUCCAGUUUGUCUCAAUUUCUUCAGCUCAGACAUGGGGUCGUCAUAUAGCUCAGAACCAAACCGGAUGUUGAGGGCCGUCACAUACUCUUCCCAGGUUGGCCUAGAUCUUGUUAAUCUAGCCUUCAUAAAAACUUGAUGCCAUUGCAAAGCUCUCCCUUCCAAGUGUAUAGCAGCUAUCUUGACCUUGGAAUCUUCAGGGGUCCCAUCAAUCUCAAAGAAUUGUUCACAUCUAUACAACCAUCCCUUAAGCUCUUCGCCAUUAAACCGAGGGAACUCUAACUUAGUGAAUCUCGUCGAAAGUUGUAGUUUAGUAGAGGAAUUACCUUCAGUUUUUGACGUAGAGGAGUAAUUCGAAUUGACUCCUGUUGAAACUGACGCUUGCAAAUUAACAAACAUUUGGCAUACCUCCUCCAUGUCUCUCACUUGUUGCUCUCUAACCUCCUGAAUGGAUUGCUCAUGGCGACUGGUAGUAUCCUUGAUCAUCGCCCGCAACAAUUCUUCCAUCUUCUUCAGCUCCUGCGACCUCGUUUCCAUAUUAGUGCAGCGAGGUGGCCGAGGUUCGACCUCUCUGAUACCACUGAUGCAAUUUGCUAAUUAACCCAAGAAGGAGGCAGAGAAUUCAUGGUGAAUUCUGGUGCUCUCCUUAUCAUAAACACAAGAAUGGGAGAAAUGGGAGGGAGGAUAAGAGAAGAGAAGAGAAGUGUAGAGGAAUGGAGAGAAAAUUAUAUUGAUACUCAAAAACUGAAUUACAAUAACCCUAAUCAGUCUAUUUAUACUUAGUUACAAUGGCAAACUUGUAAUAAAAGGAAAGUAAAUAGUGCGGGUCCUAGUUGUUAAUCUAGUUACCCUGAUAAACAACCAGGAUCGGAUGACUUGGGCCAUCAACGGCUCCGAUCAUCCCACCUCAAUGUUACCUAUGAAUGAAGUCGGCAACUAUUAUGGGAAAAUGCCGUAAUUCCCUGUUAUUAAUUACUGCACUACUCCGCAACCAAGCUUCG
RNAcentral lists this long non-coding RNA (5895 nucleotides) under Ananas comosus (pineapple). RNAcentral describes it as "long non-coding RNA (ACOM_LNC011867)". The record is from RNAcentral. Lineage: Eukaryota; Viridiplantae; Streptophyta; Magnoliopsida; Poales; Bromeliaceae.